Molecule: non-coding RNA, 96 nt
Organism: Picea glauca (white spruce)
Lineage: Eukaryota; Viridiplantae; Streptophyta; Pinopsida; Pinales; Pinaceae
Source: Rfam
CUGACUUUAUCUCACUUGGUAGAGCAGAGGACUGUAAUGGGAUACGAAGUCCUGAUUGUUAUUCUUAGGUAGCUGGUUCAAAUCCGGCAAGUCGGA